UAAGCGGAGGAAAAGAAACCAACAGGGAUUGCCUUAGUAACGGCGAGUGAAGCGGCAAAAGCUCAAAUUUGAAAUCUGGCGCCUUCGGUGUCCGAGUUGUAAUUUGAAGAAGGUAACUUUGGAGUUGGCUCUUGUCUAUGUUCCUUGGAACAGGACGUCACAGAGGGUGAGAAUCCCGUGCGAUGAGAUGCCCAACUCCAUGUAAAGUGCUUUCGAAGAGUCGAGUUGUUUGGGAAUGCAGCUCUAAGUGGGUGGUAAAUUCCAUCUAAAGCUAAAUAUUGGCGAGAGACCGAUAGCGAACAAGUACAGUGAUGGAAAGAUGAAAAGAACUUUGAAAAGAGAGUGAAAAAGUACGUGAAAUUGUUGAAAGGGAAGGGCUUGAGAUCAGACUUGGUAUUUUGCGAUCCCUUCCUUCUUGGUUGGGUUCCUCGCAGCUUACUGGGCCAGCAUCGGUUUGGAUGGUAGGAUAAUGAUUAAGGAAUGUGGCUCUACUUCGGUGGAGUGUUAUAGCCUUGGUUGAUACUGCCUGUCUAGACCGAGGACUGCGUCUUUUGACUAGGAUGCUGGCAUAAUGAUCUUAAGCCACCCGUCUUGAAACACG
This 601-nucleotide ribosomal RNA is filed under the name Debaryomyces psychrophilus. RNAcentral describes it as "eukaryotic LSU rRNA". It matches the Rfam family "Eukaryotic large subunit ribosomal RNA", at positions 47 to 663 of the family's 3401-position model. Lineage: Eukaryota; Fungi; Ascomycota; Pichiomycetes; Serinales; Debaryomycetaceae. The record is from RNAcentral.